CGGGCACCUCUCGCGCAGACGCGCGACUCCUCCUCUCAUCAUUUUGUAAAACCAGAAGGAUCUACCGUCGUUGCGUCCCCCCCCGCUUAUUCUAGCCUCGCCGCGCCACGGACCGACCAAAACCAUAUGGGUUUCUUCCCACCAGCGUUCGCUCUCUCAGCCGCCGUGCCGCUGCUCAUGAGGCGCCCAGGUCCCGCAGCAUCCGGAUGCCACCGAUCGUUUAUUUUUCAGGCGCCACUGUCCAACCCAUCAACGCUUUCGAUGUGGUCACAAUCUCUCAGGCAGCAGCCACCCACGAUUCUGUCUGCUGUCGCAUGACUUUUACAAAUGGCGCUUCUGCUUGGAUAAGUUUAUUGUUCUCUUUAACACCAUAUUAUACAGGUACUAUCAAUGAAAUCUAAAAUUUGUUUUUGCUAGGUUUCUGAUUAUGAUUUGAGAAUAACUUGCCUUUCUAAUAUUUAUUGUGUUCAAUUUUAGAAGAAUAUAAACUAGUAAUUUAGUAAUUUACAUGUUCUCAUGCAAUAAAUUGUAGUCGUUUGUUAUCUAGGAUUGCAUUUAUAUAAUCUAUGUGUUUUGUAUACCAAAAUGGCAAUGCCUUAAUUCUUUUUUACAAUGUGUCAGUGAAGAAAUUAAAAUCAGCACCCUCUCUACCAAAAUACAAGUAAAGCCAUGAAGAUGUCAUUUUUGAAGGAAUUUUCAAUAAUUGCUAAUAACUUUGGAAGUAAAUAUCUUUAUAAAAAUUAUAUAUGACUCUAGCUAGAGAUAUGUGAAUAGUUGAUCCUAGUGUCAAAAGAUGUUUUGAACACUAUGGUGAGGUUAGAUUUACUAAAAAGUACUUUUUUGUCCACUUAUAAUAGCCAUUAGCCUUAGUUAUGAAAUUCGCUUUUAGAUGAAUGAAGAUUGUAGAUUUAGAUUAAGGAUCUUAGAGAUCAAAAGUGGAUAUGUGGCCGCCUCCUAUGAGCAUCUAUUCACUUGUGUAAGAGGGCUUAGUUGCCCAAGCUCUCGAUUUCUCUUCUUUUUGGUGAAGGACAAAGUCAUACCAAAUUUUGGCCUCAAACUCUAAUUAUAAUGUCAUUUUGGAUUCUAGAUUUCAUUGUGUA
RNAcentral lists this long non-coding RNA (1100 nucleotides) under Physcomitrium patens. Its description in RNAcentral is "long non-coding RNA (PPAT_LNC004411)". Lineage: Eukaryota; Viridiplantae; Streptophyta; Bryopsida; Funariales; Funariaceae. The record is from RNAcentral.